AUGAAAUAUGAAGUUUUAUUAAAAGAAAAAGGGGUGAAAAGAACAAAGUUUUGUCCAUCUUUGUUCAUGAUAGUUGAAAGUUAGAGAAGAGAAAGGAGAGGAGAAAACUCUUGAGUAUUUGGUCAUUAGGAGGAGGAAAAUUGAAGGCAGUUCGUGUGUGGAUCUCGUCAGCAUAUCGUCGGAAACAGGAAAUCCCCAACCAUAGUGGGCUUGGAGCUGUGAGGGAAUUCGGAGUGGCCACCCGCUCUAAAAGUUUGAUUUUCUUC
Molecule: long non-coding RNA, 266 nt
Organism: Gossypium arboreum
Lineage: Eukaryota; Viridiplantae; Streptophyta; Magnoliopsida; Malvales; Malvaceae
Exons: 3
Source: RefSeq, a predicted model, not a curated record